This 522-nucleotide ribosomal RNA is filed under the name Thalassospira sp. RNAcentral's name for it is "bacterial SSU rRNA". It matches the Rfam family "Bacterial small subunit ribosomal RNA", at positions 33 to 596 of the family's 1533-position model. The record is from RNAcentral. Lineage: Bacteria; Pseudomonadati; Pseudomonadota; Alphaproteobacteria; Rhodospirillales; Thalassospiraceae.
AUCCUGUGCGGAGCUACCAUGCAGUCGUACGAGAAGGUUCCUUCGGGAACUGGAGAGUGGCGCACGGGUGAGUAACGCGUGGGGACCUACCUCUUAGUGGGGGAUAACGGUUGGAAACGACCGCUAAUACCGCAUACGCCCUUCGGGGGAAAGAUUUAUCGCUAAGAGAUGGACCCGCGUUGGAUUAGAUAGUUGGUGAGGUAACGGCUCACCAAGUCAGCGAUCCAUAGCUGGUUUGAGAGGAUGAUCAGCCACACUGGGACUGAGACACGGCCCAGACUCCUACGGGAGGCAGCAGUGGGGAAUAUUGGACAAUGGGCGCAAGCCUGAUCCAGCCAUGCCGCGUGAGUGAAGAAGGCCUUCGGGUUGUAAAGCUCUUUCAGAUGCGAAGAUGAUGACGGUAACAUCAGAAGAAGCCCCGGCUAAUUUCGUGCCAGCAGCCGCGGUAAUACGAAAGGGGCAAGCGUUGUUCGGAUUUACUGGGCGUAAAGGGCACGCAGGCGGUCCUGCCAGUCAGGGGUG